Long non-coding RNA from Tympanuchus pallidicinctus (lesser prairie-chicken), 3786 nucleotides. RefSeq lists it as uncharacterized. The record is from RefSeq and is a predicted model, not a curated record. NCBI's taxonomy places the organism in Eukaryota, Metazoa, Chordata, Aves, Galliformes, Phasianidae. The transcript has 2 exons.
UUUAUUAAAAAUGUCUCACUGAGGAGAGGCAUGCUUACAACUUUGUGUUAAUAGGUGUGGGAUGUCUUUACACCACAUAUUCUGUGUGAAAGAGAGCACCUUGGCUUCAGCUGGAAGUUGUUGCUUGUCAUCAAAACCUAUGCUAUGGAAGUCCCUGUGUAGGAAGCACAGAGUGUCUUGCAGCCAUUACGUGUUAUUUGUAAGUAAGUGAGAGCUGAAACAGCUUCUAAAGCCACUGCCCUGAAAAACCGGGCGAUAGAUGGAAUCAGCAGGGAGCUUGCUGGGGUAAAACAAGGUUGGUGACUAGAACACAACUGUGUGUGUGAAAAUAUGUCACGUCUUAGUGCUUGACUCAAAUACUAUGACUAUGAUGCUGUGGACAACUGAAUAUAGUAGAAAGGAACAUCAAAUAUUCUCAGUGCAAUAAAAUGCAUGCUAAGGGAGAAAUAUGUAUGCUCGUGCUGGCUGCCCAGGGAGGUGGUGGAGUCACUGUCCUUGGAGGUGUUCAAGAGUCACAUAGAUGUGGCACUGAGGGAUGUGAUUACUGGGCAUGGUGGGGGUGGCCUGAUGGUUGGACAAGGUGAUCUUAGAGGUCUUUUCCAACCUUAACAAUUCCUUGAUGGUAAUCAGGCUGCAGGUCCUCUGAUCCAGCAUCCUGGAUGGUCCUUGCUGCCCAAAGCAUGCUCAGCUUCCAGAUGAGAGGGAGUGCUGUGAAUGAUGGGGACUAAAGCACAACAAGUGCUGUUACAGGAACCUGGAUAAUACAUCUAAAACACGUUCCUUUUAGAUUACAGCACAACCAGGCUUAAUAAAUAAAACAAUUCUGUACAUACUUGCAGGUUUUGCAAAAGCUGUUUCACAAAGUUGAUCGAAAAGCUGAGUCGGUUACAAAAUGGUGAGAGAUGCAUGGGUUGGCAGGGAUGUGCUUUGCUCCAGGGAACAGUUCUGAGCUCAGCAUUAGGAGGGAUGUUCCCAUUCCAGAUGAAUAUCCCAUUCCAGAGAAUAAAACACACCAGCUGCAAGAAGGAUGCUGCGGUGAUUUUUAGUGGCAGAGCAAAAAAAAAAAGAUCACAUAAAUGACCCUGGUGAAAAUAACACAAAGUCCUGCCCCUUCCUGGAUUGAAACCUGAGGACCUGUCACAGGCAGGGAACAAGUGCAAGUGCUUUUGUGCUGAGUGCCAGGAAGGGUGCCUGCAUCUGUGGGCGUGCCUCUCGGCUGCUGGGAGGGCAGGAAAGAAAUUGGGAAUAGUUUUAUUCAGCAGGGAGACACGGGGAGCCAUGUCCUCGUCCUGAUGUAAUUUUAUCUAAAUUCUGCCCGCUUUCAUGCUUUGAAGAGGAAUUUCACUACUGGAAUAGACCUCAUAGAUUAGCAAGGAAAUAAUCGGGAAGCCUGGAGUGCCCGAUGUACAAAUAAUGGUUUUCCUUCCUCUUCUUCCCUCUAUGCCACACUUGUUUCUUUUGUCUUGCUAUACAUUACUCAGUGCCAGGAGAAAAUGCAGCUCGUGAGGAGGACUUGAGGAGAGCUGUGCAGGUCGUGCCUCCCACCUCAGCCCCGUGAGCUGCCAGCAGUGAGAGCCCAGCCUUGUGCUGUGCCAACAGAGCAUUGCACUGCAAAUGAUGAGAAAGAACUGUGUUAUACUACAGGAAGCAAUGCGUUUUACUGCAUAAAAUAUGUGGCUGGAAAUUUAAACAUUGUGGGUGAAUGGGUAAAAUGAAUAGCAAAUGUUUACUUGCUGUACACAAUGUGCAAAGUCUAUUUACCUGUUGUUUAAAUAGGGCUGUUUCCGAGACAACAGAGGUUAAAACAGGCUGCAGCCUGCUUUUCUGUACUUAAUGAGGCACUCUCCAUCACUGCUGCAGAAGGUAGGUAGAAGCAUCCUGUAAUAAUUCAGAUUUAAAGGAGCAUUGGUGUGCACGGAUGGAGGAGAACAGGCUGCAAACCCAUUGCUGGCUCCUUCCAAGGUGUGUCUGGGAAAUCAAGCAUAAAACAGUGUAUGCUUCUAAAUUGUUAAAUCAUAUUAUGUUGGUCAUAGCUUUUACUAUGCAGCAGUUGUGAAUUAUAGGAGCAGAUAUUUUGUUUUGUUAGCCAGGAUGCCUUGGGGGGAAGAAAACUCCUUUAGACUAAGAGUGAUGGAGCACUGGAGCAGGAUGCGAGACUAGAGAGGCUGUGGUGCCUCCUUCUAUGGACAUAUUCAAGACACAACAGGAAGCCUACCUGUGCCACCUGUGGUAGGGUGCCUGAUUUGGCAGAGGGGUUGGGCUCCAUGACCCAGCUCCUCACUACAAGAAAGAUUGCAGUUCUGCAGGUCCCAGCUCCAGCCCCCAACGGGUGUUUGCGGUGAGAAGCACUCUGAGAACUGAGGGAUCAAUGAUCCAAAAUAUUUAAGUAUUGCCUGUGUGGUUCUUAGAACUUCUGCCAUUGCUUCUUUUUUAGUAGCUUAUGUGUUUGAAUUAAAAACCGCAGUGCAAUGAAGUGGAAUGCAAAUAGCAAAAACCUUGUUUUUUAUCCUGUGCUAUUUCCAUUUAAGAAACAAGCACAGCUGAAUCAUAAUCUCCUUAUCAUCGUUUGAUAGAUGCACUGGAAAGCAAAACCAUGAGAUAACAGACACUUGGGUAAACGCAUGAGGCUUUGGCAGGGCUCUGUCCUUCAGUAAAUUCUGGCACCCUCUUAGACCCUAGUGCAAAAGUGAAGGCUCAGCACCUGCAGGUGCGGAAGGCGGCAAUUUUGCGAGCAGCACUGGGCUCAGUACAGUUCACCUUGAGCUUGAUGUGGGCUGAGGGAUCGUUUUGAUGGAGUUUUGGGAAGUGAAAUCACAGUGACACAUUUUAGUGUUCCUGGAGAAACAGCGACCGUUACUUCAGUGAUUGUUUCAGAAACGCAGUCACGGGAAGCACGCCCGAGUAAAAUGCUCUUCCGUCUCUUGUGCAGCGUUGGUCCCAGCUGCUCUUGAUUAAAGGGGAAUGGGUUCUCAGUACUUAAGGGAUUAAUAAGAGAAGACAAACCAUCUUAAUUAAUAAGUCCUGACAUUUAAGCUUCCUGAGAGCAGGAUGAUAAGAGAGUCAUUAGAGGGUACCGAGAGGAGAUAUUAUAGCAAAAGUUGCAGAAUUGUUGGGUAUUGAUUGGCAAACUGUCUGCACACUUCUUUUCAGAAGGAGAGCCCUGCAGACCCUUCACAAAGCAGCAGAAGCAGAUGGGCUUGUGUUGGGCUGUUUAAUGGAGCAAAAUGCUUUUCAGUUGACAGUCAUUAUGGCUAUGGGGAGGAUAAGGCAUUUUCAGCAAGCUUAAAGAUCAGGAAGCUCUUUAAGACUCAUAAGCUGUAACUUGAGCAGAAAUUACAGCUUUGCACAAGGAUGAAUGUAAGUUGGGUUACGAUCUCCGGUGCCUCCUUCAGCAAUCGGGUGCCUCUGAUGAACGCUGCCUGGCCACUGCAAUUUGCUGUGCUUGUGUUCUUCCUUUGCUUUCUCCUUGGGGAUUAAUAUCCGUUAUGGCAACAUCCUGGUUUCCUCUGCAAAGUGCUUUUGGGACAGCAAUUCCCCAUCAUCCUUUGUAGCAAAGAACAGAUCAAAAGCAAUACCUCUCGAAAUACGUCCAUGCGUGUGCUAUUGCAUCGAUACUGUUUUGUUCACUGGUCCUCGGUGCUCUGCUUUGUUCCAGAAAGUGGUGAAAUUUAGUAAUAGUGCAGACACUGCAUGGCAAAAGUAGUGAGAAUAUAAAUCUUUUCCACUCUUAAAUGCUGAAGAAAGCAUGCUGCCCUUUGGUUUUUAAUAAAAUCAUUUCCUAGAUCA